GUGGGGAAUUUUGGACAAUGGGGGCAACCCUGAUCCAGCCAUUCCGCGUGAGUGAAGAAGGCCUUCGGGUUGUAAAGCUCUUUCGGCAGGGACGAAACGGUGGGGGCUAAUAUCCUCUGCUAAUGACUGUACCUGAAGAAGAAGCACCGGCUAACUACGUGCCAGCAGCCGCGGUAAUACGUAGGGUGCGAGCGUUAAUCGGAAUUACUGGGCGUAAAGCGUGCGCAGGCGGCGACACAAGACAGAUGUGAAAUCCCCGGGCUCAACCUGGGAACUGCGUUUGUGACUGUGUUGCUAGAGUGCGGCAGAGGGGGGUGGAAUUCCACGUGUAGCAGUGAAAUGCGUAGAGAUGUGGAGGAACACCGAUGGCGAAGGCAGCCCCCUGGGUCGACACUGACGCUCAUGCACGAAAGCGUGGGGAGCAAACAGGAUUAGAAACCCCGGUAGUCC
RNAcentral lists this ribosomal RNA (450 nucleotides) under uncultured bacterium. Its description in RNAcentral is "bacterial SSU rRNA". It matches the Rfam family "Bacterial small subunit ribosomal RNA", at positions 354 to 796 of the family's 1533-position model. The record is from RNAcentral.